AGGGCGAGGUUACUGGAACAUUUCCGACGCUGAAGGCUCGAAAGGCCAGGGUUGCGAAAGGGAUUUAGAUACCCCUGUAGUUCCCUGGCCAGUAAACGUGUGCGCCUUGUUUGAGGGGUUUCGACCCCCCUUGUGCCGGAGCUAACGCGUUAAGCGCACCGCCUGGGAAGUACGGUCGCAAGACUAAAACUCAAAGAAAUUGACGGGGACCCGCACAAGCGGUGGAGUAUGUGGCUUAAUUCGAUGCAACGCGAAGAACCUUACCAGGGCUUGACAUGCAUUGCUAAUUCCGUGAAAGCGGAUGAGUCUUCGGACACCUUGCACAGGUGCUGCAUGGCCGUCGUCAGCUCGUGUCGUGAGAUGUUGGGUUAAGUCCCGCAACGAGCGCAACCCCUGUGAUCAGUUGCCAGCACGUAAUGGUGGGGACUCUAAUCAGACUGCCCAGAUCAACUGGGAGGAAGGUGGGGAUGGCGUCAGGUCAGUAUGGCCCUUACGCCCUGGGCUGCACACGUACUACAAUGCCCAGUACAAUUAGAACCGAGACCGCGAGGUGGAGGAAAUCUCUUAAAACUGGGCCCAGUUCGGAUUGGAGGCUGCAACUCGCCUCCAUGAAGCCGGAAUCGCUAGUAAUGCUGCAUCAGCUACGGCAGCGUGAAUACGUUCCCGGGUCUUAUACACACCGCCCGUCACAUCAUGGAAGCCGGUAGCACCCGAAGUAUCGUUCAAUCGGUCCUA
This 735-nucleotide ribosomal RNA is filed under the name uncultured Verrucomicrobiota bacterium. RNAcentral describes it as "uncultured Verrucomicrobia bacterium partial 16S ribosomal RNA". It matches the Rfam family "Bacterial small subunit ribosomal RNA", at positions 718 to 1459 of the family's 1533-position model. Lineage: Bacteria; Pseudomonadati; Verrucomicrobiota. The record is from RNAcentral.